AUGGUCAAGUUACUAAGGGCGCACGGGGGAUGCCUCGGCAUUGAGAGGCGAUGAAGAGCGUGGAAGUCUGCGAAAAGCUUGGGGUAACCGACAAACAGGUGAUGAUCCCGAGAUACUCGAAUUAACGUAUACUGAAUUCAUAGGUAUACGUGGCCAACCCAGGGAAUUGAAACAUCUUAGUACCUGGUGGAAAAGAAAGAAAAAUCGAUUCCGUAAGUAGCGGCGAGCGAAAGCGGAAGAGCCCAAACCGGAGGGGUUUCCUCUCCGGGGUUGUAGGGCCACUCGUAUGGGAGUUACAAAGCGACAACUAGCUGAACAGCUUGGAAAGGCUGACCAUAGACGGUGACAGUCCGGUAAGCGAAAGUUGAGCGCCUCCUGAGUGGUACCUGAGUAGGACCAUGCACGUGAAACGUGGUCUGAAUCUGCGGGGACCAUCCCGCAAGGCUAAAUACUCCUCAAUGACCGAUAGUAAACUAAGUACAGCGAUGGAAAGGUGAGAAGAACCCCUGUUAGGGGAGGUAUGUGAACCUGAAACCGUGCGCUUACAAGCGGUCGGAGCACUAUUUGAAGUGUGACGGCGUGCCUUUUGCAAAAUGAUCCGGCGAGUUAGUGUUUGCAGCGGGUUAAGGCCUUACGGGCUGUAGCCAUAGGGAAACCGAGUCUGAAUAGGGCGUUUAUGUUGCGGGCACUAGGCGCGAAACUGCGUGAUCUACCCAUGGACAGGUUGAAGCGCGGGUUAAACUGCGUGGAGGACCGAACUCAUUUGGGUUGAAAACCGAUGGGAUGAUCUGUGGGGAGGAGUGAAAGUCUAAUCAAACGCAGAGAUAGCUCGUUCUCUCCGAAAUAUUUUGAGGGAUAGCCUCGAGCCACUAUGCAGCGGGGGUAGAGAGACUGAAUCGGACGGGGGCCCUUCCUUGGGUACCUCACCGAACCAAACUCCGAAUACCGUUGUAACUAUCUCGGGAGUCAGUCUGCGGGGGAUAAGCUCCGUGGUCAAGAGGGAAACAACCCAGAUCGUCGGCUAAGGUCCCAAAGUUCUAUUCAGUCACUAAGGAAGUUGAAUCUCGGUGACAGCCAGGAUGUUGGCUUAGAAGCAGCCACCAUUUAAAAAGUGCGUAAUAGCUUACUGGUCGAGAGAUUCUGCGCCGAUAAUGAACGGGAGUAAAUAGAACACCGAAGCCGCGGGAUGCAGCAAUGCAUCGGUAGGAGAGCGCUGAUGGGGAGAUACAAGACGUACCGUAAGGAGCGUUGCCGGCCCCAUCAGGUGAUUAUGCCGGAAUGAGUAACGAUUAAGCAGGUGAGAAUCCUGCUCGCCGAAUACCUAAGGUUUCCUGGGCAAGGUAAAUCCGCCCAGGGUUAGCCGGUACCUUAGUCGAGGCCGAAAGGCGUAGACGAUGGAUGUACGGUUAAUAUUCCGUAGCCAAUUUUGUGAAGCGAUGGAGGGACGGCGUCCGGAGAUUCAGCAGUACGACUAGAAAUGUCUGUUGGCUCUGACGAGGUGCUUGGUAGGCAAAUCCGCCAGGCAUAAGCCAAGACAGAGUCACGAGGGCACUUAAGAUCCCGAAGUGAAUGGAAGGACGUCCAAGAAAAACUUCUAAGCGUUAAAGCAAAGUUGACCGUACUAAAACUGACACAGGUAGGUAAGAAGAGAAUUCUAAGGCGCUCGGGAGAACGGUGGUUAAGGAACUCUGCAAAAUGGCCCUGUAAGUUCGCGAUAAAGGGCGCCUGAUUAAUCAGGCCACAGAAAAUCGGCACCAGCGACUGUUUAUCAAAAACACAGGACUCUGCGAACUCGUAAGAGGAGGUAUAGAGUCUGACGCCUGCCCGGUGCUGGUAGGUUAAGGAAGAGGGUUAGCAGCAAUGCGAAGCUCGCAACCGAAGCCCCAGUAAACGGCGGCCCUAACUAUGAGGGUCCUAAGGUAGCGAAGUUCCUUGUCGGGUAAGUUCCGACCUGCAUGAAAGGCGUAACGACUGGUGCACUGUCUCAACCACCGACCCGGUG
Molecule: ribosomal RNA, 2002 nt
Filed under: Planctomycetota bacterium
Lineage: Bacteria; Pseudomonadati; Planctomycetota
Description: bacterial LSU rRNA
Rfam family: Bacterial large subunit ribosomal RNA
Source: RNAcentral